UUGUGGACCAGAAAUGCCUUCCUGAACUGGGAUAUUACCUUAGUGCUGUCAAAACUGGUCUGCUGAGAUCCUUCCUUCCUACAGCACCCUGCAGAAGAAAUUGCUUUGGACAGCAUGAGAGUGGAUAAGUAAGUAGCACAUCAGAUGUGAUUCAGCACAUCGCUUACAAUGGCUUCGCUAAGAGGAGGACUGAAAAAAGCGAAGAGGUCAGACAUCUCCAAUACCUGAUGGUGAAAGACAGCAAGAUCUAAUUCCAAGAGACACCAUGGAAAACAAAAAUCCACUAAGAAAGUAUUCCUACAAAGUUACAGAAAACGCAUUCAAAGCCUGAAAAAUGAAAAAAAGGAAAAAGCAUUCCUGAUACUGUGGCCGGAUCUACUGCAUACGAGGUUUCUUAGCUUGGUCACAAGAAAACUGAGCUGAUCUCUGGUACCACAGGAGCCUCAGCAUUUCGUGGGAAAACCUUCUCCUUCAGCCUCCUGAAAGCUCUGUCUGCAGCUGAGAAACUGAAACUCUGCAUCCAUACAGUAGUCCAGGAAUCUUCUCCAGGGCCUACCCAGUAACUGACCUUCACAGUGACCUGAGGAAUCGGGUGAGUCAGCAUCCACAGUCAACCAUUGGGCUCUGCCUCUAAUUAAGGCUGGGAAUGGUCCAGUGACUCCGAGACCAUAACAUCAUAUUAUGCACACUGUUCUCUGUGUAUCCCAGUGCACUUUAGCAAGCCAUUCUGCAUCAUUAUCUUUAAAGAAUACCUCACACAGAGGGCCGUUCAGUGGCCAGGAGGAAGAUGGACCGAGACCAACUAAUGUUAAAUAAUAAAUCGCCUUUGUAUGACAUAUCCCACAGAAUCCCAACUUCCACUGAGACAUCCCUAUACUAAAAAAAAAAAAAAAAAAAAAAAAAAAACCUGAUGUAAGAUUUCUGCUUUAAACAGACAUUCAGCACAUUGCAAAGUUCUUAUAUUAAAAAACAAAUAUGACUGAAUAAUAUUGAAAUGAUUAAAUAAGUAAUAAGCUACAUAGGUUUUGUAGUUUAGAACAAAAUAUGCUUAGUAAAAUGAAAGGCCUCUAAGUUCUCCAGUACACCAUUAAAAAGUAAUAGAAAGUUUAAGUGUAUUAACAGUUAGUAAUGAAAUUACUUUGAAAUAGUUUUAGUUUUGCAUAAAUGAUUUAAGAACUUUUGUUUUCUUUUCUAAAUGUAAAACCUAAUUCUCAGUGAAAUUUAGUGAAAUAUAUUUUUAUGAUCAACAUUCCUGCCAUUUAACGUCAGUUAGUAUCACUUCCCUGCCAGCCCCAAUUCAACAUGGUAACAAGUAUGCGCAUUAAGGGAACCUGGCUGUACCUCUCCUAGACCCCAUUUGAGGGCUGACUGCCACCGAGGAAGGAUCUCUUUCUGGAGAUUGUUCUCUUAGGAGUUAUUUCUGUAAGCUUAGGACACAGGUGAGCAUUUCAUUAAUUUUUGAUUAUCUCUUUCUAGUUACACAACCAGUAAAAUACCAACCUAACCACACCGCUCUGCAAAUUAUAUGUUUGUUGAGUGUAUGCUCCUUUAAAUAGGUUGAUUUCUGGUAGACAAAGCCCACUGGCCCAAGAACUACUGCCUGCCCCUUUCUAUCUGUUAGACACAAUUCUGAACAGAUACACAUUUACAGUUUUCACAUUGAGUGGUGAAUUUGUUUUUCUUCUCCUCAAGCUGGUAAUAUCAAUAUGGAGAGCACAUUAACCACCCCUUUAGAAAAGCCUUAGCCUGGCUUUUGUCAAAUGCUGAGAAAGGAUACCCCAUCUGGUUGAAGCUGUUUGUGAAGACAAGUACAAAGCGUGACCUGAAUACAUAAAUAACUGUUGAGAGUCACUAAAUCAGCACUGUGACUGCUACAAGUUCUCACAUACAGAAAAACUUCAUAAUAAAUGGGAAAUGUCUCUGAAAGACUUUGGAACUUUAUCAGUCAGCCGAUAACUUUUGGUACUGCCAGCCUGAAGUGGAUUGCAGUUAGCCUGCCCUCUGUCAUCCUUCAAGCACCUCGCUUUUACCCAAGAGGGAAAUAGACUGCAUGCAGCUGUGUAUGAACAUCACAAGAACCCAUUUUUAGGAUUAUUUCUAUUUUGUUACAUCUAAAAUAAGUUCAAGAAAUUAUUUAUUCAGAAACAAGGUAUUCAGGUCAAGCAAUCAUGCAAACACUGCUUUAAGAGCUUUAUUUGGCUAAAGAUUCUUCUCUCUGCAUUUAUCUGUGUUACUAUAAUGUCUUCCUGCACUCUGUGGUCUGCAUCACAAAAGAUGCACUUUAUUGCAUGGGAGCCUUCCACUUACGUGUUCAUCCAUCACCUCUUGCAAGCAUGCAGUAUAUUUAAAAAUUGAGCUCUCCUUUCUUGGAAUGUAUAAUUGAGUCUUUGCUGCAAGCCUGUUUGCUGAAAGCCUGAGGAGGACUUGUGAGCUCAAAAAUAUACUGACUGUAUGAAACUGCAGCACUCAAACGCUAUGUAUCUCACUCCUUUCUCAACUUACUUUCACAAAGGCAUUAUUUGUGGCACCAGAAUUCUUAUUUCUUGUAAGUCAGUUAAACAGCAGAUUUAUUCCAGAUACCAUAGUUCUAGAGUAAGAUAUGUCUUACUAGUUAUCUAAAGUAUCUGUGAUCCUUAGUGUCCCAGCAGCCUUCAUUUGUCACUGCCAGCAACACAGCAACCUGUCUGGUCUUAUUUUGGGGUUUACCUCUUACUGUGAGCAUAUUCAUCCACUAUUAGCCAAUGAUAAGCAACUGCUUUUGUCAUAGAAAUAUUUCUGCAUUCCCCAGAAAAAUAAAAAGAAAUAAGAAUUUUUAAUUUUUUUUUUCAAAUACCCAAGCUUCAGCUGAAAUUCUAAGCUAGUUUGCUGGAUCUCUUUGUGGGUUGUUAACCAUCUUUUUGUAGCUAUUAAAAACAGUCAGUGGUGCAAUACCAGUGCAUGGUAUUGACAUUAUCUUGCAUACCCUUGCUAUGCAAGGGGACUCAAGUCCCUUUGUUUCUGUUCUGCGCUGGCCAUGGGUGAACUUGCACCAGCCUGGAGUCACUUAAUGCCAGCAGCAGGGCCCAGUGCAAACAAGGAAGGGCCUAUGAGACCAUGUACCCCAUCACAGCACGUACCAGAUAUGAGAAGUUAUGAUAAUUUAAAAUCCUUGAUAUGGAAGAAAAUACAACCCGCAUGAUUUUAUUUAUCAGAAAUGUGGUGCUAACAUUGUUCUUUAUAAAAAAAAAAAA
Long non-coding RNA from Meleagris gallopavo (turkey), 3230 nucleotides. RefSeq lists it as uncharacterized. The record is from RefSeq and is a predicted model, not a curated record. NCBI's taxonomy places the organism in Eukaryota, Metazoa, Chordata, Aves, Galliformes, Phasianidae.